Molecule: long non-coding RNA, 230 nt
Filed under: Medicago truncatula (barrel medic)
Lineage: Eukaryota; Viridiplantae; Streptophyta; Magnoliopsida; Fabales; Fabaceae
Description: long non-coding RNA (MTRU_LNC005260)
Source: RNAcentral
GCUUAUUUAACCAUACAAUCCUAUGCAUACAUCUAAGGUGAGUGUGUGCGUGUCGGUGCGUCAUAGUGUCCAUAGUCCAUAUUACAAAAAUUGCCUAAAUACAUUCUAUGGCCCCUUUGCCAAGCUACAAACCAAUGGUAAAAUAUUACAUCAUCGAAUGAAUUACAAUUUGUAAAAAAAGAAAACUAAACUAACGGAGGCAAUAGUGAAGAUAAUGAAGUGCUAUGAAG